Molecule: unclassified non-coding RNA, 297 nt
Filed under: uncultured Coprinopsis
Lineage: Eukaryota; Fungi; Basidiomycota; Agaricomycetes; Agaricales; Psathyrellaceae
Description: sequence contains ITS2
Rfam family: 5.8S ribosomal RNA (bases 1-52)
Source: RNAcentral
AACGCACCUUGCGCUCCUUGGUAUUCCGAGGAGCAUGCCUGUUUGAGUGUCAUUAAAUUCUCAACCUCACCAAUUUUGUUAUGAAGUUGUGUGUAGGCUUGGAUGUGGGGGUUGCAGGUCCACUCUGUGGUCUGCUCCUCUGAAAUGUAUUAGUGGGUUUGGCCCCUAAUCUAUUGGUGUGAUAAUUAUCUACGCCGUGGAUUGGAAGGCUGUUACGACCUGCUUCUAACCGUCCUUCACAGGACAACUCUUGACAUUUUUGACCUCAAAUCAGGUAAGACUACCCGCUGAACUUAA